This 466-nucleotide ribosomal RNA is filed under the name uncultured bacterium. Its description in RNAcentral is "partial 16S ribosomal RNA". It matches the Rfam family "Bacterial small subunit ribosomal RNA", at positions 28 to 507 of the family's 1533-position model. The record is from RNAcentral.
GACGAACGCUGGCGGUGUGCUUAACACAUGCAAGUCGAACGGUAAGGCCCUUUCGGGGGUACACGAGUGGCGAACGGGUGAGUAACACGUGAGUAACCUGCCCUCAUCUCUGGGAUAACAGUCGGAAACGGUUGCUAAUACUGGAUAUGAGCUUGCAAGGCAUCUUGUGGGUUGGAAAGAUUUUUUUGGUUGGGGAUGGACUCGCGGCCUAUCAGCUUGUUGGUGAGGUAGUGGCUCACCAAGGCUUCGACGGGUAGCCGGCCUGAGAGGGCGACCGGCCACAUUGGGACUGAGAUACGGCCCAAACUCCUACGGGAGGCAGCAGUGGGGAAUAUUGACCAAUGGACGGAAGUCUGAUGCAGCAACGCCGCGUGCGGGAUGACGGCCUUCGGGUUGUAAACCGCUUUCAAUUGUGACGAAGCUUUUUGUGACGGUAGCAGUAGAAGAAGCACCGGCUAACUACGUG